GGUAGCUCAGUGGUAGAGUGCUUGCCUUGCAUGCAUGAGGGCCUGGGUUCAAUUCUCAGUACCA
RNAcentral lists this transfer RNA (64 nucleotides) under Dipodomys ordii (Ord's kangaroo rat). It matches the Rfam family "tRNA". Rfam says of the family: Transfer RNA (tRNA) molecules are approximately 80 nucleotides in length. Their secondary structure includes four short double-helical elements and three loops (D, anti-codon, and T loops). Further hydrogen bonds mediate the characteristic L-shaped molecular structure. tRNAs have two regions of fundamental functional importance: the anti-codon, which is responsible for specific mRNA codon recognition, and the 3' end, to which the tRNAs corresponding amino acid is attached (by aminoacyl-tRNA synthetases). tRNAs cope with the degeneracy of the genetic code in two manners: having more than one tRNA (with a specific anti-codon) for a particular amino acid; and 'wobble' base-pairing, i.e. permitting non-standard base-pairing at the 3rd anti-codon position. The record is from Rfam by way of RNAcentral. Lineage: Eukaryota; Metazoa; Chordata; Mammalia; Rodentia; Heteromyidae.